UAUAUAUUCCCCCCUUUCCAAAUUACUCGUCGCAGAAAUGGAUGUAUCUAGAACUAAAAUACAUCUAGAUACAUCCAUAUCUGUGACAAGUAAUUCGGAACGGAGGGAGUAUAAC
Triticum aestivum (bread wheat) is the source of this 115-nucleotide non-coding RNA. Lineage: Eukaryota; Viridiplantae; Streptophyta; Magnoliopsida; Poales; Poaceae. The record is from Rfam.